Long non-coding RNA from Oncorhynchus tshawytscha (Chinook salmon), 3766 nucleotides. The record is from Ensembl. Lineage: Eukaryota; Metazoa; Chordata; Actinopteri; Salmoniformes; Salmonidae.
GGACAGUCCAGGGUUAUUUUCAACAACAACACAUAUGGACAGUCCAGGGUUAUUUUCAACAACACAUAUGGACAGUCCAGGGUUAUUUUCAACAACACAUAUGGACAGUCCAGGGUUAUUUUCAACAACAACAAAAUGAUCACGUGCGGCAAAUACAAAACGUUUAGACAUUACCGUGAAAUGAUUACAAAUGAGAUCUAAAAAAUAGAUAUAAUAACACAAUAAAAUAACAAUAAUGAGUACCGGUACCGAGUCAAUGUGCAGAGUAUGAGGUAAUUGAGGUAAUAUGUACAUGUAGGUAGAGGGAAAAGUGACUAGGCAAUCAGGAUAGAUAAUAAACAGAAUAGCAGCAGUGUCUGUGAAGAGUGUGAAAGAGUGUCUGCAACUAAAUGUAGGUGGCAUCAAUAUUCAUGUGUGAGCCGGAAGUUUACACCUUAGCCAAAUAAAUACUCCGUUUUUCAAAAUGUUUCAGUUUUUCACAAUUUAAUCCUAGUAAAAAGUCACUCUCUAAGGUCAGUUAGGAUCAACACUGAAAGAAUAAUAAUAACAGAGAGAAAGAUUUAUUUCAACUUAUUUAUUUAUUACAUUCUCAGUGGGUCAGAAGUUCACAUACACUCAAUUAGUAUUUGGUAGCAUUGCCUUUAAAUUGUUUAACUUGGGUCAAAUGUUGUGGGUAGCCUUCCACAAGCUUCCCACAAUAAGUUGGGUGAAUUUUGGCCCAUUACUCCUGACAGAGCUGGUGUAACUGAGUCAGGUUUGUAGGCCUCCUUGCUUGCACAUGAUUUUUCACUUCUGGCCACACAUUUGCUAUAGGAUAUUGCUCCCAAGGAUGAACCAGACUUGUGGAGGUCUACAAUUUUUUUCCGAAGUCUUGGCUGAUUUCUUUUGAUUUUCCCAUGAUGUCAAGCAAAGAGGCACUGAGUUUGAAGGUAGGCCUUGAAAUACAUCCACAGGUUCACAUCCAAUUGACUCAAAUUAUGUCAUUUAGCCUAUCAGAAGCUUCUAGAGCAAUGACAUCAUUUUCUGGAAUUUAUAGGCACAGUCAACUUAGUCUAUGUAAACCUUUUACACACUGGAAUUGUGAUACAGUGAAUUAUAAGUGAAAUAAUCUGUCUGUAAACAAUUGUUGGAAAAAUUACUUGUGUCAUGCACAAAGUAGAUGUCCUAACCGACUUUCCAAAGCUAUAGUUUGUCAUCAAGAAAUUUGUGGAGUGGUUGAAAAAAUAUUUUGAAUGACUCCAACCGAAGUCAAUGUAAACUUCCUAAUUCAACUGUAUGUAGAGUGUGAAUGUGUGUGUUGGAGUGUCAGUGUAGUAUUUGUGACUGUGUGGGUAGAGUCCAGUGAGUGUGCAUAGAGCCAGUGCAAGAAUGUCAGUGCAAAAACAACAAAGGAGAUCAAUAGCAGUCUUCUGGCUUGUGGUUAGAAGCUGUUCUGGAGCCUUUUGGUCCCAGACUUGGCAUUCCGGUACCGAUUGCUAUGUGGGAACAGAGUAUGACUUGGUGGUGAUGUACUGGACCGUACGCACUACCCUGUGUAUUGCCUUGCGGUCGUAUGCCAAGCAGUUGCCAUACCAAACAGUGAUGCAGCCAGGCAUAAUGCUCUCAGUGGUGCAGCUGAAUUCCUUUUUGAGCAUCUGAAGGCCCAUGCCAAAUCUUUUCAGCUUCCUGAGGGGGAAGAGGCAAUUUCAUGACCUCUGCACGACUGUGUUGGUGUGUUUGGACCAUGAUAGGUCCUUAGUGAUGUGGACACAGAGGAGCUGAAAGCUCUUGACAUGCUCCAAUACAGCCCUGUCAAUGUGAAUGGGGGCGUGGCUCGGCCCUCCAUUUCCUGUAGUCCACGGUCAGCUCCUUUGUCUUGCUGAUGUUGAGGGAGAGGUUGUUGUACUGGCACCACACUGCCAGGUCUCUGACCUCCUCCCUAUAGGCUGUCUCAUCGUUGUCGGUGACAAGGCCAACCACCGUUGUGCUGUCUGCAAACUUAAUGAUGGUGCUGGGGUCGUGGGUGAACAGGGUGUACAGGAGGGAACUAAGCACACACCCCGGUGGGGCCUCGUGUUGAGGAACAUCCUGGCGGAUGUGUUGUUGCCUACCCUCACCACCUGGGGACGGACCGCCAGGAAGUCCUGGUUCCUGUUGCAGAGGGAGGUGUUCAGUCCCAGGGUCCUUAGUUAGGUGAUGAGCUUGGAGGGAACUAUGGUGUUGAACUCUGAGCGGUAGUCAAUGCACAGAAUUAAGCUUUAAUAUUGCAGAUAAAUCUGCAUCAUAUCCAAUCCCCCAUAUCUAUAUAUGUUUUGUAAAUAUAUACAAUAUAUAAAAUAUGUAUUUAUUUUCCCCUAACCUUACCACUCCUCCGCUAGUUGGAGUAAACUAUUGGACAACAACACUUAGUCUUCUACAUCCAGUUUAUACAUACUAUAUACAUUUUACAGACACAGUAUAUUUGACAAUAGUUAUCUUUUGUUCGUUUUUAGUCCCAUCCUUCAGCUACCCUCAACCCCUCCCAUCUAUCUCUGAACACCAUCCAAUCCCAUCCUUCAGCUCUACUCAACCCCUCCCAUCUAUCUCUGAACACCAUCCAGUCCCAUCCUUCAGCUCCACUCUACCCCUCCCAUCUAUCUCUGAACACCAUCCAGGUCUGAUUUCAAUUUGGCAUAUAUUUUUCAACCUGGCUAUUUCACAAAGUUUUGAGCCUAAAUACAUUUUACGGACACAGUAUAUUUUAAAUUAGUUAUCUCACCCUUCAGCUCCACUCUAUUGCUCCCAUCUAUCUCUGAAAACCAUUCCAUUUUGAUUUCUAUUUGCCUUUGAUUUUUCAACUGUGCUGUGAUGUUUCGAAAAAGUUAUGAACCUUUCUAUUCUCAUAGUUUUCACAGAUAGUAAAUCAAAGAUAAAUAUUUUGGCUAAGAGUGUUAUUAUAUGAUUGCUGAAUUGACUAUGACUUUUUAAAUCACACAGCAGUGCUAUUUGCAGAGUUAGAUCCAGGUAGAUUUUUCAAUUCUUCAGCCAUUCCUGUGACCAAAAACAAGCUACUUAUGGACAAUACCAAAACAAAUUAUCUAAUGACUCUGUCUCUUUGCAGCAAAAUAUGCAGAGCUGGGAUGGUUGAAUCCCCCAUAUAUAUGUAAAUAUAUAUAAAACAUAUAUAUAAAACAUCCUAUUGGCUGCAAGAAUUUUGUAUAAUAAUUAAAAUUAUGUAUCAGUUCAUAAACCAUGUGCCAUGGAAUCGAUACUUCGAAAAUAUUUUCCAAAAUAUUUUGCAAUCUAUAUGACACAGCUGUACAUUGUUUGGUCCUUAAAUGACACUGGUAUACUUUGUUAUUUAUCACAAUUUUAUUUAACCAAUUUUGGUCUUCAAUGCAGGGCAGACAGACAAGUUCUUUACUUUCUCCCUCUUCCACUUGCCUCUUCCAUUUUUGCGGUAAUGCUGCAAUUAGUUGGUUGUAAUUUUGAGUAGAGCAGACAUUUCAAUAUAUUUUUGUUAGCUGCAUGUGUGACAUAACUCCACCAGUCCUAUUUAUGAUACAAUUUACAGAGUUUUCUGAUUUAAAAAAAUUAUAUAUAUAUUUUUAGUUUUUUUAUUGAUUAUUAUAUUUGAGUUCAACCAAAAUAUUUGUUGUAAUAUUUAUUGUAAUAUUUAUUCUCUUUUUUGAUGGAUUAAACUGAAAUUGCAACCAACUUUCAAUGGCUUGUUUUUAAAAAAGCAAUAUUUUGGAGAUGCUUUCAUGUUCAAAUAACCGAAAGUGAGAGGUUGUAAUCUGAAUAAAGG